Long non-coding RNA from Oreochromis niloticus (Nile tilapia), 734 nucleotides. RefSeq lists it as uncharacterized. The record is from RefSeq and is a predicted model, not a curated record. The transcript is spliced from 3 exons. NCBI's taxonomy places the organism in Eukaryota, Metazoa, Chordata, Actinopteri, Cichliformes, Cichlidae.
UGUCAGUGUGCUGUUAUAUAACUGAGGUAUUUUUAAGGCCUGACUUGUGGCAUUGAUGCCCAUUGCUUUACUGUCCUGUUGGAUGUGUAUGUGUGCUAUCCCUUGUAUCUGACAUUUGAUUGGGCAUCACUGUGUUGCUAUGGCAUGAUCCUGGUAGUUGUUGUUAUUAAAACAAUAACAAUAACAAAUUCAAACAUUGCUGCAUUCUUCUGUAACUGAGGAUUCCAAACCUGCACUCAGUCUCCUCAUUACACUGGUACUGAACAGACACAACACUGAAGCUCUUGCAAACUUCAACUGCAACUAUCUGACACAAAUCUGCGACUGACAGCAAGCACAGAAACUUCAAACAAGUCCCUGAAAGAAACCAAAUCCUGCGUCUUUGCCGUGACAGACGCCUAAAAUGGCUCGAGCUGUGACAAAGGAGAAGCACCCAGACUCAUCCAACGAAGACCGCUGUGCUCUGGAGAGUGAAUUUCCCUCUUACAUGUUUAGACCGAUCAGCGCACCUGCAUGUGAGGUCCCAAGUCCUCCACCUGCUGAUGCCUGGUUUCAGUCAAAGGACACAGAUAAGGUCAUGCAUCCAGACUUUAAAAAUGAUCGUUCAUCCCUGGAUGACGAAGUGGCCUUUUUUAUGUGUCCCAGUGAUGUUCCUCUGCCCCCGAGACCUCCACCCACUGCAGAGUUACGUCUCUGUAGAAAACGCCGAUAUUCAAGCGUUUUUUCUGUGGAUG